CUAACACAUGCAAGUCGAACGGAACUGUUUUGAAAGAUUCUUCGGAAUGAAUUUAAUUUAGUUUAGUGGCGGACGGGUGAGUAACGCGUGAGUAACCUGCCUUCAAGAGGGGGAUAACAUUCUGAAAAGAAUGCUAAUACCGCAUGACAUAUCGGAACCACAUGGUUCUGAUAUCAAAGAUUUUAUCGCUUGAAGAUGGACUCGCGUCCGAUUAGUUAGUUGGUGAGGUAACGGCUCACCAAGACCGCGAUCGGUAGCCGGACUGAGAGGUUGAACGGCCACAUUGGGACUGAGACACGGCCCAGACUCCUACGGGAGGCAGCAGUGGGGGAUAUUGCGCAAUGGGGGCAACCCUGACGCAGCAACGCCGCGUGAAGGAUGAAGGUUUUCGGAUUGUAAACUUCUUUUAUUGAGGACGAAAAAUGACGGUACUUAAUGAAUAAGCUCCGGCUAACUACGUGCCAGCAGCCGCGGUAAUACGUAGGGAGCAAGCGUUGUCCGGAUUUACUGGGUGUAAAGGGUGCGUAGGCGGCUUUGCAAGUCAGAUGUGAAAUCUAUGGGCUCAACCCAUAAACUGCAUUUGAAACUGUAGAGCUUGAGUGAAGUAGAGGCAGGCGGAAUUCCCCGUGUAGCGGUGAAAUGCGUAGAGAUGGGGAGGAACACCAGUGGCGAAGGCGGCCUGCUGGG
This 687-nucleotide ribosomal RNA is filed under the name uncultured Lachnospiraceae bacterium. Its description in RNAcentral is "bacterial SSU rRNA". It matches the Rfam family "Bacterial small subunit ribosomal RNA", at positions 48 to 733 of the family's 1533-position model. Lineage: Bacteria; Bacillati; Bacillota; Clostridia; Lachnospirales; Lachnospiraceae. The record is from RNAcentral.